RNAcentral lists this ribosomal RNA (497 nucleotides) under uncultured bacterium. RNAcentral's name for it is "partial 16S ribosomal RNA". It matches the Rfam family "Bacterial small subunit ribosomal RNA", at positions 28 to 507 of the family's 1533-position model. The record is from RNAcentral.
GAUGAACGCUGGCGGCGUGCCUAAUACAUGCAAGUCGAGCGAACAGACGAGGAGCUUGCUCCUCUGACGUUAGCGGCGGACGGGUGAGUAACACGUGGAUAACCUACCUAUAAGACUGGGAUAACUUCGGGAAACCGGAGCUAAUACCGGAUAAUAUAUUGAACCGCAUGGUUCAAUAGUGAAAGACGGUUUUGCUGUCACUUAUAGAUGGAACCGCGCCGCAUUAGCUAGUUGGUAAGGUAACGGCUUACCAAGGCGACGAUGCGUAGCCGACCUGAGAGGGUGAUCGGCCACACUGGAACUGAGACACGGUCCAGACUCCUACAGGAGGCAGCAGUAGGGAAUCUUCCGCAAUGGGCGAAAGCCUGACGGAGCAACGCCGCGUGAGUGAUGAAGGUCUUCGGAUCGUAAAACUCUGUUAUUAGGGAAGAACAAAUGUGUAAGUAACUAUGCACGUCUUGACGGUACCUAAUCAGAAAGCCACGGCUAACUACGUG